This 274-nucleotide ribosomal RNA is filed under the name uncultured bacterium. RNAcentral's name for it is "partial 16S ribosomal RNA". It matches the Rfam family "Bacterial small subunit ribosomal RNA", at positions 79 to 354 of the family's 1533-position model. The record is from RNAcentral.
CUAAGUUUGAUGGCGACCGGCGCACGGGUGAGUAACACGUAUCCAACCUGCCGAUGACUCGGGGAUAGCCUUUCGAAAGAAAGAUUAAUACCCGAUGUCAUAGUCCUACCGCAUGAUGGGAUUAUUAAAGAAUUUCGGUAUGGGAUGGGGAUGCGUUCCAUUAGUUAGUUGGCGGGGUAACGGCCCACCAAGACAACGAUGGAUAGGGGUUCUGAGAGGAAGGUCCCCCACAUUGGAACUGAGACACGGUCCAAACUCCUACGGAAGGCAGCAG